CGCGAGCCGCGGGGGCGGGGGCGGGGGGCGGGGCGGCCGGCGCCCCCGACACCCGGAGCCGAGCCGGCGGCCGGCGGGGCGCGCGGGGAGGGGCGAGCGCGGCCGCGGGUCCGGGGGGCGGGCCGAGCCAGCGCAGCCCCGCGGGCUCCGAGCGGCCCCGCAGCGCGCCCCGAGCCCCGCGCCCCGCGCCCCGCGCCCCGAGCCCUUCCCGCACCCCGGGAGCCGUCGCCCCCGCGCACCUUCGCGGCGCACCCCGAGCCGACCCCCGCGUGGGCGCCGCCGGCUGCGCGCGUCUCCCGUGGACCCUCCUGCGGCAGACUUCCAAGGGCAACGUUCGCCAAAUCCUGGCAAAAUGCUUGCUGACGAUGCAUUUCUCCUUGGGAAAUGAAUUGGAGCUCUCUAAACCAGAGCAAUGCCUGCCUGAAUGCUUUUAUGACUUUGAUAGUUGCAUGUGGAUCCAUUGAUGUUUCUUAUGAAAAGGCUCGAAGAAAAUACUUCAUUGAUGACUGAAUCUCUCUGAACUGUGUAAGUCUAGGAGCU
Molecule: long non-coding RNA, 540 nt
Filed under: Canis lupus familiaris (dog)
Lineage: Eukaryota; Metazoa; Chordata; Mammalia; Carnivora; Canidae
Description: lncRNA (ENSCAFG00845028370.1)
Source: RNAcentral